This 457-nucleotide ribosomal RNA is filed under the name uncultured bacterium. RNAcentral describes it as "partial 16S ribosomal RNA". It matches the Rfam family "Bacterial small subunit ribosomal RNA", at positions 338 to 795 of the family's 1533-position model. The record is from RNAcentral.
CCUACGGGAGGCAGCAGUGGGGAAUAUUGCACAAUGGGGGAAACCCUGAUGCAGCGACGCCGCGUGAGUGAAGAAGUAUUUCGGUAUGUAAAGCUCUAUCAGCAGGGAAGAAAACCACCCUCCGGGGUGGCUGACGGUACCUGACUAAGAAGCCCCGGCUAACUACGUGCCAGCAGCCGCGGUAAUACGUAGGGGGCGAGCGUUAUCCGGAUUCAAUGGGUGUAAAGGGAGCGUAGACGGCCGUGCAAGCCAGGAGUGAAAGCCCGGGGCCCAACCCCGGGAAUGCUAUUGGAACUGUGCGGCUGGAGUGCGGGAGGGGCAGGCGGAAGUGCUGGUGUAGGGGUGAAAUGCGUAGAUAUCAGGAGGAACACCGGCGGCGAAGGCGGCCUGCUGGAACGCGACUGACGUUGAGGCUCGAAAGCGUGGGGAGCGAACAGGAUUAGAUACCCGGGUAGUC